Molecule: ribosomal RNA, 465 nt
Filed under: uncultured bacterium
Lineage: Bacteria
Description: partial 16S ribosomal RNA
Rfam family: Bacterial small subunit ribosomal RNA
Source: RNAcentral
GACGAACGCUGGCGGCGUGCUUAACACAUGCAAGUCGAACGGAAAGGCCCCAGCUUGCUGGGGUACUCGAGUGGCGAACGGGUGAGUAACACGUGGGUGAUCUGCCCUGCACUCUGGGAUAAGCCUGGGAAACUGGGUCUAAUACCGGAUAGGACCGUGCUUUAGUGUGUUCGGUGGAAAGUUUUUCGGUGCAGGAUGAGCCCGCGGCCUAUCAGCUUGUUGGUGGGGUAAUGGCCUACCAAGGCGGCGACGGGUAGCCGGCCUGAGAGGGUGUACGGCCACAUUGGGACUGAGACACGGCCCAGACUCCUACGGGAGGCAGCAGUGGGGAAUAUUGCACAAUGGGCGCAAGCCUGAUGCAGCGACGCCGCGUGGGGGAUGACGGCCUUCGGGUUGUAAACCCCUUUCGGCAGGGACGAAGCGUUUGUGACGGUACCUGCAUAAGAAGCACCGGCUAACUACGUG